AGUAAAUGCAUUCCGCUGAUGUUGUUUGCUAUGUUUCUGUUUUGAUCAUCCAACAAAAAAAGAAAGAAAGAAAAGAUCUCGUUGUUUCUUUGCA
Molecule: non-coding RNA, 94 nt
Filed under: Platyophrya macrostoma
Lineage: Eukaryota; Ciliophora; Colpodea; Cyrtolophosidida; Platyophryidae
Source: RNAcentral